RNAcentral lists this ribosomal RNA (468 nucleotides) under uncultured bacterium. RNAcentral describes it as "partial 16S ribosomal RNA". It matches the Rfam family "Bacterial small subunit ribosomal RNA", at positions 28 to 507 of the family's 1533-position model. The record is from RNAcentral.
GACGAACGCUGGCGGCGUGCUUAACACAUGCAAGUCGAACGGAAAGGCCCUGCUUUUGUGGGGUGCUCGAGUGGCGAACGGGUGAGUAACACGUGAGUAACCUGCCCUUGACUUUGGGAUAACUUCAGGAAACUGGGGCUAAUACCGGAUAGGAGCUCCUGCUGCAUGGUGGGGGUUGGAAAGUUUCGGCGGUUGGGGAUGGACUCGCGGCCUAUCAGCUUGUUGGUGGGGUAGUGGCUUACCAAGGCUUUGACGGGUAGCCGGCCUGAGAGGGUGACCGGCCACAUUGGGACUGAGAUACGGCCCAGACUCCUACGGGAGGCAGCAGUGGGGAAUAUUGCACAAUGGGCGGAAGCCUGAUGCAGUAACGCCGCGUGCGGGAUGACGGCCUUCGGGUUGUAAACCGCUUUCGCCUGUGACGAAGCGUGAGUGACGGUAAUGGGUAAAGAAGCACCGGCUAACUACGUG